Molecule: long non-coding RNA, 513 nt
Organism: Hibiscus syriacus
Lineage: Eukaryota; Viridiplantae; Streptophyta; Magnoliopsida; Malvales; Malvaceae
Exons: 3
Source: RefSeq, a predicted model, not a curated record
AGCUCAAUCCCUCGCCUCAUCUUCUUAUCUUAUAGAUUCAUAAGCAAUUCAUGAGAUUGCUUCACAUACAAAUAAUCUUCCAUCGAGGUAUUGAAGACUUUGUUAUUUACAACAUUGUUAUCUGUCUUCAAAAACCAUCCCUUCCUUGGUUAGAGUUUUUCGUGUGAUAUAUUGAUUUAUGCACAUAGCAAGGAGGGAUGGUUUUUGAAGCUUUAGAUGCCAAUGACACAGUGGAUAAGCAAGAUGUGAAGCUUCAUGAUGUGAUAUGGAGUUGGUGCAUAUGUCAAGUACAGGAAACUAGAAGUUUUGGCUCCCUCCCAUGGUGCUCAUGCUUCUGCUUCACCAAGAGCAAGAAGAAUAACAGAAUAAGUGAAGGUGAAACAAAGAAUUGAAGGCCACUUUGAUUUGAGUAUAUGAUCAGAUUUCUGUUUGAAGUUGUUCAAAUUGUGGAAAUCGUAAAUCUUUUAUAAAUUGUUUAAUGAUCACUUUGGCUGUUUAAUAGCAAAGAGAUGU